GUUUUUUUCCCAUACGUGGGACUCACUACAUAUAUGGUGGGGCCCUUCUUCUUCAAACUAAUCAGAGGCUGAAAGGAAAAAGGGAACAGUUGCAGUAAUUAGCCCUGUACUCCUCUCUCUCUCUGAAUCUCUCUCCUUCCUUUCUCAUCUUUCUGGUCCCUAGGGUUUUUCGUUCUCAAACCCUGAGAUUUGGUUUCUCAUUCCGCACAUUAUGUUUCCUGAUUCAGUUGCCUCAUUGUGCCCCCACCGUAAGGUACUCUUUCUAUCUUCGAUCUGUUUUACUUCAGCUGCUUUCAAGAUUUUAUAGAGUUGAUUCACAUAUGCAGCCACACAACACGAGUGUGUGUUUGUUGAGUGUACUUCUAUUUUAGUGUUUCAUCUUCUUUUUUAAACUCUGUUCAGGAGCCUGAUACCUCUGGAUUCUGUUUCAUGCAAGCAUUAUUUACAAGUUUGUGGAUUUCAAAUUAAAAAACAAAGUUUGUUAACUUUUUUUUUUCUUCUUACGGUUCUAUGUUUUUCUCUCAUUUCUUUUCUUGAUCCGCACAGUUUUUUUUUUUUUUUUUUUCUUCAGUUUAUUAAUUUAAGCUUAAGUUCAAGAUGCAAUACAGUCCUUUGUUGUUCGUAAAUUUUUACGUACUUUUUGGAUAUAUUUUCAUCACCUCUCUACCCGGAAAAUAAAUGAAUUGAAGGUUAGUGGAUAUAAAUGUAUAAUUUAAUAGCAAUUUUCUUUAUUACAUUUGUAACUUGUUUCUUCUGAAUAUAGCCUGCCAGGGUAAAUUAGGAUUGUCUCAGCAUAAAAGCUUUAAAAUCAAUCUCAGUAUGACCUUAAUCUGGAAAUUAAUCAUAAAAUGAAAACGGGUUACUGGUCCUGGAGCUUCUAUUCUAUCAUCAAGUUGCUAUCGUCCGUAAAUAGAAGGUUCAUUUGAGGGUAAGACAUAAGAACCUUUAGCAGAUACACAGUAGGGUAAUUAGUGUCCGUGGAAAACUGUUCUGUAUGUGAAUUCAGUUUUGUGUCUUGGUAGUUUCUUAGAAAAGUAUUUGUUUUAUUGAAACUGUUUCGCCCAAGUUCAGUCAAUGCUGUCCGUCACAAGCUUAUCUGAAUUCUGUGAUAAUCUAGUGUUCUGGCGAUUGUUUGAACUUCGAACUCUUUGACAUGUCUGUAACAGUAAGCUAAUCUUAUAAUUCCUCAAUUGACUUUUUCAGGGUUUGGAUUUUGAUGUGUAGUCAAUAAGGAGUUGACAGUUUGAUCAAGCUUUUGGACCAAUCUAAACAGGAAAAGCUUUAAAACGUAUCUGUGGCUCGAUUUUCAUGCUUGGUGGGUCUUGCAUCUGGAGUUCCUCAGAGAUGGACUAGUAUAAAUCUUCCGGGUGUGUGUGUCUCACCUCAAUACUGUAUACAACCAGAUUAAAUGGGUCCAUUUCCUGGUACUUGUGAAAUUGAAGAGCUGAGUUCAGUUGAACAUUCUAGAAGAACUCAUCUACCAAAUGCUGGGAUGAANNNN
This 1501-nucleotide long non-coding RNA is filed under the name Carica papaya (papaya). Its description in RNAcentral is "long non-coding RNA (CPAP_LNC012310)". The record is from RNAcentral. Lineage: Eukaryota; Viridiplantae; Streptophyta; Magnoliopsida; Brassicales; Caricaceae.